RNAcentral lists this ribosomal RNA (695 nucleotides) under Pseudomonas sp. RNAcentral describes it as "bacterial SSU rRNA". It matches the Rfam family "Bacterial small subunit ribosomal RNA", at positions 42 to 723 of the family's 1533-position model. The record is from RNAcentral. Lineage: Bacteria; Pseudomonadati; Pseudomonadota; Gammaproteobacteria; Pseudomonadales; Pseudomonadaceae.
GCAGGCCUAACACAUGCAAGUCGAGCGGUAGAGAGAAGCUUGCUUCUCUUGAGAGCGGCGGACGGGUGAGUAAUGCCUAGGAAUCUGCCUGGUAGUGGGGGAUAACGUUCGGAAACGGACGCUAAUACCGCAUACGUCCUACGGGAGAAAGCAGGGGACCUUCGGGCCUUGCGCUAUCAGAUGAGCCUAGGUCGGAUUAGCUAGUUGGUGAGGUAAUGGCUCACCAAGGCGACGAUCCGUAACUGGUCUGAGAGGAUGAUCAGUCACACUGGAACUGAGACACGGUCCAGACUCCUACGGGAGGCAGCAGUGGGGAAUAUUGGACAAUGGGCGAAAGCCUGAUCCAGCCAUGCCGCGUGUGUGAAGAAGGUCUUCGGAUUGUAAAGCACUUUAAGUUGGGAGGAAGGGUUGUAGAUUAAUACUCUGCAAUUUUGACGUUACCGACAGAAUAAGCACCGGCUAACUCUGUGCCAGCAGCCGCGGUAAUACAGAGGGUGCAAGCGUUAAUCGGAAUUACUGGGCGUAAAGCGCGCGUNGUGGUUUGUUAAGUUGGAUGUGAAAUCCCCGGGCUCAACCUGGGAACUGCAUUCAAAACUGACUGACUAGAGUAUGNAGAGGGUGGGUGGGNAUUUUCCCUGGUGUAGCGGUGAAAUGCGUCGNNAUAUAUGGANAGGGNACCCCAGUGGGCGAANGGG